Molecule: ribosomal RNA, 406 nt
Filed under: uncultured bacterium
Lineage: Bacteria
Description: partial 16S ribosomal RNA
Rfam family: Bacterial small subunit ribosomal RNA
Source: RNAcentral
AUUGAACGCUAGCGGCAUGCUUUACACAUGCAAGUCGAACGAGAGGCGAACGGAUGAGUACUAUAUAGGACCGUACCGAGUUAUGGGGGAUAACCAAUCGAAAGAUUGGCUAAUACCGCAUAUUAUUCGAGCGGCCGAUAACUGAUUAGCACGUGGGUGGGGUAAAGGCCUACCAAGGCGACGAUCAGUAGCGGGUCUGAGAGGACGAUCCGCCACACUGGGACCGAGACACGGCCCAGACUCCUACGGGAGGCAGCAGUGGGGAAUUUUGGACAAUGGGGGCAACCCUGAUCCAGCCAUGCCGCGUGGAUGAAGAAGGCCUUCGGGUUGUAAAGUACUGUUGUUAGGGAAGCGGUACCUAAAGAAUAAGCACCGGCUAACUACGUGCCAGCAGCCGCGGUAAUAC